CAGCCGUGAAGGAAAAUUUUCAUGUGCAUUUGUGAUUAGGUAGAAUACUUUUUUUUGAUGACUAUGUAUUUUUAUCUUCCUCUGUUUUUGAGAAAUGCUGGUUAUGCUUGCCUCCUUAGAACAUUCACCUUCCCCACACACUUCUUAUAGAUACCUGAGACGGCAAACAGGAGCAUCCCUGAGAAAAGUAAUCAGAAGAAAGAACAGGGCAUAGGCUCUACCAGUGCUGGCAUCCCACCAAAUAUUGCCUUUAAAGACAACCAACCAUCUACCUAUGUGUGAAAACAGCUGAAGCUAAGGAUGGGAAGAGGAUGGGAAACCUACUGACAUACUUACCUAGUUCUCUUAUUAUAAAAGGGUGUGCUAUAUCUUUGUAUUCUGAAGACUCUGUUUCUGCAUUGAGCUCCAGUGUUUACUUAAUACAACAUCUCUUGAGCAAAAAAGAACCAUGGGCAAUUCAUCAUGGGUCUUCAAUCUUGAAUGACAGUAGUACUUAAAAAGAUGAUAUUCCAAGA
RNAcentral lists this long non-coding RNA (515 nucleotides) under Androctonus crassicauda. Lineage: Eukaryota; Metazoa; Arthropoda; Arachnida; Scorpiones; Buthidae. The record is from RNAcentral.